Molecule: unclassified non-coding RNA, 261 nt
Filed under: plant metagenome
Description: partial contains small subunit ribosomal RNA, internal transcribed spacer 1, and 5.8S ribosomal RNA
Source: RNAcentral
UUUCCGUAGGUGAACCUGCGGAAGGAUCAUUAGUGUAUAACCGAGGUACGAGGGCUGUUCCUGACCCGAAAUGCCGGGCCCGCCGGUGUGCCCUCUCACCUCGAUCGCACCCCUAUGUGUAUCACCGGCCGGGUCCCCCUUUGGCUUGUUCGGCGGGGGGCUUACGUUUUCCCUCAAACUUUGUAUGGAGUGUAGAAUGUAUUUUUUGUUUUUUCGAUCACGCAAGCAAUACAACUUUCAACAACGGAUCUCUUGGCUCUC